CUGCUGCCUCCCGUAGGAGUUUGGGCCGUGUCUCAGUCCCAAUGUGGCCGGUCACCCUCUCAGGCCGGCUACCGAUCGUCGCCUUGGUGGGCUCUUAUCCCGCCAACUAGCUAAUCGGACGCGGGUCCAUCGUAUACCACCGGAGUUUUUCGCACCGGGCCAUGCGGCCUUUGUGCGCUUAUGCGGUUUUAGCACCUAUUUCUAAGUGUUAUCCCCCUGUAUACGGCAGGUUGCCCACGCGUUACUCACCCGUCCGCCACU
RNAcentral lists this ribosomal RNA (261 nucleotides) under uncultured bacterium. RNAcentral's name for it is "partial 16S ribosomal RNA". The record is from RNAcentral.